Sphaeramia orbicularis (orbiculate cardinalfish) is the source of this 736-nucleotide long non-coding RNA. RefSeq lists it as uncharacterized. NCBI's taxonomy places the organism in Eukaryota, Metazoa, Chordata, Actinopteri, Kurtiformes, Apogonidae. The record is from RefSeq and is a predicted model, not a curated record. The transcript has 2 exons.
GGGGGGGCGGGAGGACAGAGGAGUCGGGCAGGAGUUGUGUAAAAGGGGCUGAAGUCCUGCGCGGUGCUCUGUACAGCUGCUGCGGACUCCAGGAGUGGGACCGGCGCACAUUUAGCUCCCACUAAACCGUCUUCUAUCGCGGAUGUCAGAGUAAUAUCCGCUCAGACAGCGACACGGGCUGCUGGAGGUCCAGGACUCCGCCGUGCAGUGCAGUGGGCGAGGCUCCGUGAACUCCGUGGAUCGGCUGGCCGAGCAGGAGCGACCCGGCCGGCGGUCAAGGAAGGACUGCACCUAAAGCAGAUGAAGAAGAAGAAGAAGUCACGGUUCGUGCCUGGAGCUGGGCUGCCUGUCACGUUCCACUCCUAGCUCUUCCUCACCCAAAUGGCUGACACACAGCAGUUCUUCACUGGCAAGCUUUAUGUUCCUGUACACAUGCUAAAGCUGCCAGCUGAAGAACUGCUGUGGUCUGCCCUGCCCCGGAGGAGUCAAGAACAGGAAGUGGACUGGAUGGGGGACGGGGGGAGGGACGGAGGAAGAGGACUGAGGAACACAGUGUUUCACACCACAGUAGUCUGACGGGACAUUAAUAACCUGCCAGAUCACAGCCAACUUAUCACAUGUACGACACGUGUCACUGCAGGCACUGACGUGUCUGUAAUUUGUGAGUACGUUGGAUUUGUUGCCUUCUUAAAUUUAACGUGCAUGUCUUUCCAACAAUAAAGAUCAUAAAACACUC